GAUGAACGCUGGCGGCGUGCCUAAUACAUGCAAGUCGAGCGAACGGACGAGAAGCUUGCUUUUCUGAUGUUAGCGGCGGACGGGUGAGUAACACGUGGAUAACCUACCUAUAAGACUGGGAUAACUUCGGGAAACCGGAGCUAAUACCGGAUAAUAUUUUGAGCCGCAUGGUUCAAAAGUGAAAGACGGUCUUGCUGUCACUUAUAGAUGGAUCCGCGCUGCAUUAGCUAGUUGGUAAGGUAACGGCUUACCAAGGCAACGAUGCAUAGCUGACCUGAGAGGGUGAUCGGCCACACUGGAACUGAGACACGGUCCAGACUCCUACGGGAGGCAGCAGUAGGGAAUCUUCCGCAAUGGGCGAAAGCCUGACGGAGCAACGCCGCGUGAGUGAUGAAGGUCUUCGGAUCGUAAAACUCUGUUAUUAGGGAAGAACAUAUGUGUAAGUAACUGUGCACAUCUUGACGGUACCUAAUCAGAAAGCCACGGCUAACUACGUG
Molecule: ribosomal RNA, 497 nt
Filed under: uncultured bacterium
Lineage: Bacteria
Description: partial 16S ribosomal RNA
Rfam family: Bacterial small subunit ribosomal RNA
Source: RNAcentral